RNAcentral lists this unclassified non-coding RNA (356 nucleotides) under Hevea brasiliensis (rubber tree). Lineage: Eukaryota; Viridiplantae; Streptophyta; Magnoliopsida; Malpighiales; Euphorbiaceae. The record is from RNAcentral.
CUUGACAAUUGGAGGAACAAUGCGAUCUAAAACAGUGACAUAUGCAUCAACCCUACGGUCUGCAAACUUGAGAACCUUGUUGGGAACAGGUUGGAACUUAUUAUAGACGGGUCUAACCACGCUCUUAAACCUACUCUCAACAGUAUUGACGCCAGGCUUGAAUGGACCAGACUUGUCCUUGGCAAAAAGGUAGAGCUUUGAGAAAGAAGCCCUGGCAUAAACUGUAGCCGCUUGCACAAAAUCCAAAUACUUUAGGCUCUCUUCCUCCUUAUUAGCCUCUUCUUCGAUAUUCGCCUCUUCUUGGAUAUUCUCCUCUCCUUUAUUCGUCUCUUCUUGGAUAUUCGCCUCUUCUUGGG